AAAGUGGAGAGUCUUUGUAGUAUAACAAUUACCUUGGUCUUGUAAGCCAAAAACGGAGAAUAUCUACCCUCCCUAAGACU
This 80-nucleotide transfer RNA is filed under the name Ursus arctos (brown bear). RNAcentral describes it as "tRNA-Thr". The record is from RNAcentral. Lineage: Eukaryota; Metazoa; Chordata; Mammalia; Carnivora; Ursidae.